RNAcentral lists this ribosomal RNA (301 nucleotides) under uncultured bacterium. Its description in RNAcentral is "partial 16S ribosomal RNA". It matches the Rfam family "Bacterial small subunit ribosomal RNA", at positions 509 to 807 of the family's 1533-position model. The record is from RNAcentral.
CAGCAGCCACGGGAAUACGAAGGGUGCAAGCGUUAAUCGGAAUUACUGGGCGUAAAGCGUGCGUAGGCGGUUUGUUAAGUCUGCUGUGAAAUCCCCGGGCUCAACCUGGGAAUGGCAGUGGAUACUGGCAAGCUAGAGUGUGUCAGAGGAUGGUGGAAUUCCCGGUGUAGCGGUGAAAUGCGUAGAGAUCGGGAGGAACAUCAGUGGCGAAGGCGGCCAUCUGGGACAACACUGACGCUGAGGCACGAAAGCGUGGGGAGCAAACAGGAUUAGAUACCCCCGUAGUCCCUGUCUCUUAUAC